GAUGAAGAACGCAGCGAAAUGCGAUAAGUAAUGUGAAUUGCAGAAUUCAGUGAAUCAUCGAAUCUUUGAACGCACAUUGCGCCCUCUGGUAUUCCGGGGGGCAUGCCUGUUCGAGCGUCAUUAUAACCACUCAAGCUCUCGCUUGGUAUUGGGGUUCGCGGUUUCGCGGCCCCUAAAAUCAGUGGCGGUGCCUGUCGGCUCUACGCGUAGUAAUACUUCUCGCGAUUGAGUUCGAUAGGUCUACUUGCCAGUAACACCCAAUUUUUACAGGUUGACCUCGGAUCAGGUAGGGAUACCCGCUGAACUUAAGCAUAUCAAUAAGCGGAGGA
This 329-nucleotide unclassified non-coding RNA is filed under the name soil metagenome. Its description in RNAcentral is "partial contains 5.8S ribosomal RNA, internal transcribed spacer 2, and large subunit ribosomal RNA". The stretch from base 1 to 120 matches the Rfam family "5.8S ribosomal RNA", at positions 35 to 154 of the family's 154-position model. The record is from RNAcentral.